Molecule: ribosomal RNA, 251 nt
Filed under: uncultured prokaryote
Description: partial 16S rRNA
Rfam family: Bacterial small subunit ribosomal RNA
Source: RNAcentral
ACGGAGGGUGCAAGCGUUAAUCGGAAUUACUGGGCGUAAAGCGCACGUAGGCUGUAGUGUAAGUCAGGGGUGAAAUCCCACGGCUCAACCGUGGAACUGCCUUUGAUACUGCACAACUUGAAUCCGGGAGAGGGUAGCGGAAUUCCAGGUGUAGGAGUGAAAUGCGUAGAUAUGACGAGGAACAUCAAUGGCGAAGGCAGCCACCUGGACCAGUAUUGACGCUGAGGCGCGAAAGCGUGGGUAGCAAACAG